GAUGAAGAACGCAGCGAAAUGCGAUAAGUUAUGUGAAUUGCAGAAUUCAGUGAAUCAUCGAGUCUUUGAACGCACAUUGCGCCCCCUGGUAUUCCGGGGGGCAUGCCUGUCCGAGCGUCAUUGCUGCCCUCAAGCACGGCUUGUGUGUUGGGCCGUCGUCCCCCUCCUAGGGGACGGGCCCGAAAGGCAGCGGCGGCACCGCGUCCGGUCCUCGAGCGUAUGGGGCUUCGUCACCCGCUCCGUAGGCCCGGCCGGCGCUUGCCGACGACCAUCAAUCUCUUUCUCCAGGUUGACCUCGGAUCAGGUAGGGAUACCCGCUGAACUUAAGCAUAUCAAUAAGCGGAGGA
Molecule: unclassified non-coding RNA, 347 nt
Filed under: soil metagenome
Description: partial contains 5.8S ribosomal RNA, internal transcribed spacer 2, and large subunit ribosomal RNA
Rfam family: 5.8S ribosomal RNA (bases 1-120)
Source: RNAcentral